UACUGUAUAAUAUCUGAAAUAAAUGCGGAAACUAGCCAUAAGGUUCAACACAUCUAUGAAUACUCAUAAUACAAAAAACUGAAUACUAAUACAUCCAUCUGAAAAGCCUUUAAACUGUCUGAACUGUGGAGUUGAUGGGACAGGUCCCUAACUAACUCCGUCAACUGAAAGUAAACAAAGUCUGAAGCAAUAAUAGUAAAUUGAGAUUCGUCCUCGAAAGAAGAGAACCCACUGCUACUGCUGCUGACUGGGACUGAACUGCUGAGGAUACUCUGGAUUCUGUGCCUCUGAACCUAUGGUGUAAAAUAAAAUACCAUAGCGCAAAUUCGUCAGUACAGGAAUGUACCGAGUAUGUAGACAAGGUAGGCUAAUGCAAGGGCUCAUGCAUGCACAAUAUCUAAAUUGAAUAAUCAUGAAGAUGCCGUAUGACAACACAUACAUGAAUGUACAGAACAUGAACACAAUCAUCGUAACUCUAGAUACUGAAAUUCGGAUACCAUUUUACUGCAGACUGAACUCACUACUGACAUUGAGAUACUGAAUCACUAACUCAUCUGAUACUGAUAACUGAAAGUCUGGAUGUACUUACAUCAAGAAUUGAAUUCUGAGCUUACUGCUUUCGACUGACAAGAUUAGAGAUCAACUUUUCUAACAGAUUAUUUCAGAAGCGAUUAUCAAAGAUAAGAAGUAUGAUUAUAUCUGAAUCUGACAACAAGAAUACUCAAUAGAAAUCUGAUACAGUGAUCAAGCCUAUCUGGCGGCAUAUCUCUGAAUAUGAUAUCAAAUAACUGUAUAUGAGACCAAGCCUAUCUAACGGGAUGGUCCAUGAAUCAAUAAAACUAUCUGAGUUUCUCAUAAAGAUAGAUGACUGUAUCUGACAAUCCUGAUUUCUGAAGAUUGAUAUUAAAAUUGAAAUUGAAUCUCAAACUGAAACUGUAACUGUGAAAAGUAGCUACUUAACCGACAUGGCCCAACCUACCACAGGUGGGGUCCAACCUGUAACCCCAGCUGGAAAGGUGUCAAUACUGUGCCAUGGGUAAAGAACUCUCUCUGGUCAAUCCUCUCUGACGGAUGACCCUUACCAGAAAGUCGACCUAAGGCAAUAUAAUAGCUAAAUACUCUCUCUCUUUCUAGAGGUGACAGCCUUUCCUAACGGUGACCCCUGUAUCCUACGCUGGCUAUACAGUUUUGGAGGUCAGUGAUUGCUACUAAUGACUCCGGCCUCUCUCGCUGAUGGGAAGAACCGUCAUCCCUUUUGUCUCUCGGUGCUAGUUUCUACUCCUAAUUGAAAGACUCUGAACUAAAUUCUCAACUGAACACAACUGAACUGAAUAUGAUACUGAUCAUAUUUCUCAAAAGAUCUGACUGAGUUACGCUGAAAUCACUUAGUUCCGUAUCUGACAAAAAUGGUAUUGAAUCAUGGUAUCUGACUGAUGAUACAGAGCUUGAAUAGAUUACUCGAAUCGCUUCUGAUAUUAGAAUUGAAUCACUUGAAUACUAUUAGAUCUGAGCUAAUUACAGGAUUGAGGCUAUAUUACUAACGAUAUAGAGAUUACAGAGAUAACUGAGAUCACUGAGCUUUCUUAAGUUCUGCACUUAUCUGAGGAUACAGAGUUCUAUAGUUCACUGAGGUUUGAGAAUCAUGGCUCGACUGAAAUUAUCGAGAAACUGACAUGGGCUCUAGAUAACAGCUCUAUUAUCGGGUAUAAAUACCCCCAGGACUCGAUAGCAUAAAAGUAAAGCAUAAUCAUUCUUGACUAGUCAUCAUCACAAGCAUUCGUUCAUCAUCACAAGCAUUCAUUCAUCAUCACAAUCAUUAAAGCAUUUUCACAAUCAUUAAAGCAUAUCUUCAAGUAAUUAGGAAUCAUGUCAUAUGUUCAUUCCCACAAUCAUUAAGACAUCACCUCAAGCGUUUAAGGAUCACAAACGUCUAUUCAUCAUCACAGUCGCCAAGGGGUCACUUUAAGCAUCUCGAAAUCAUAAUCAUAUAAUAACGCAGGGAAAAUAUGCUACUAGAUCGUACUCCAUUCAACUAGGUUUUACCUCAACUAUUUCAUACCUAUAUCAGUUUUGACAUGUGUUUGGAUAUCAUAUGGCUUGGGGAAACUUCAUACUAUCAUGUCAUAACUUACUUGCUAACCACUUGGCAUGUAUUAAAAACUUAGCAUAUAUCAAGAGCACAUAAUUGGGGAAUUUACUACUCUCACAUCUCCAUUUGUUCACUAAGGUCCUUCAACAAAACACUAGACAUGCACGGGUUCACACUUAUUUGGGGAUUUUCUACUACCAUGAAAUAAUUCAUUUACUUGGGCAUUUUAUCAAACACUAGGCAUGCAUAAAGUAACUCACAAUUUGGGAUUUCCUAUUCAACAUACUAUAAUGGCCCUUAUGCUUCACCUAAGCUCUUUAUCAAACCUAUGGGGGACAUGCUUCACUUAUUCAAUCAUUUCUACACCCAAAAGUAAUGAACACACCACAUAGAAAGCAACAUAAGAAAGAUUCAUCACAAAUAUCACAUGAAUUCCACCUGCUAGGGUCAAAGCUCAUGAAUCUUGUAAACAAACAUGAAUCAAAACUCAACAACACAUGUAACAUCAAUUUCAACUCACACAAAUCAUGAAAUCUCACAAACAUAAAAUCUUCAUAUUUUAAAAAGGGUUCUUGAGCUUCUUGGAUAAAAGGGACCCAAGAAUCAACAUCUACAUACCUUAAUCUUUGAAAUUGGAUGAAUUCUAAUGCUUGAGACUCUAUCCACACUUGUAAUAAAUGAUUCUCGAAGUCCACACUAUGAGGAACUUGAUUCUUUAAGAAAUCUUGAAGAAUUUAUGGAUGAUUUUGGAAGAUUAGGGUUCUUGAAUAAAAUCCUAGAUAUUUUCUCUUAAGGGAAUAGGAAGAGUAAAUGAUGAAAUUAGGGUUUGGAUGGGGUUCCUCAUAUUUAUAGAGACCUCCAAAAGAUGGAAAAAGAUCAAAAUACCCUUGCAAAAGCGUCCUUAAAUUGCUGAAAAAAUAGCUGAUGAUAUUCGUGACAAGCCGUCAAGCUGGUGAUAAGUCAUCACGAAAUGUCGUCACAAAAGAGUGAAAUUUUGAUUUUCUGGUUAAGGUUGACGACAUUGGUGAUAGGCCAUCACGGGCGUGACGACUUAUCACAAAAUGUCGUCACUGGGGGUAGAAAUCUUCCAAGGAAUGAUGACAUUGGUGAUAGGUCGUCACGCUCGUGACAGCUUAUCACGAAUGUCGUCACUCAGUUUCCCAGCCUGACAUGCUAGAGUAAAAUGGUCAUAACUCCUUUCUCCGAUAUCGUUUUUAAUGAAAUUGGUAUCCUUGGAAAGAUAAUUCAAAGAUAUUUCAUUUGAUAUAUAGUAGGUCCUCUAAUUCGAUAUAUACAAGGAGUUAUGGUCGAUUGAAGUUGACCCAAGUUUUGACGCUCACUAAAACUUGAAUGAUAGAAAAGCUUUCAACUCGUCCUUGAGUUAGGGGACCUCUAUGAUCUUAAUUCAUGCUAAAAUAGAUUCCCACACAACAUAAUUGAUUAACACACUAAAUUACAUAGGAUUCGAGGCUUUUGGAACAUCUACGCAUAUGAAUGACGGAUUCCCAUUCUAGUCCAAAAUGUGGGGUAUUACACAAAGCUUUGGCUCACCCGUUGCAUAUUGAUAGCUCAUGUAAUUGAAAAUUUGGUGAAGAUAUGAAGAAUUAUUUUGGGGAAGAAAUUAUUGGGGCAUUUAAAACAAAAAACGCAAUUGCAAGGAAAAAAAUUGUGGUAAUGUUUCAGGAAAUUUUUGAAUUUGUAUUGUAGUUCCUAUUUUCAAGCUUCCAUAAAAUCAACACAUUAAUUACUGGGGUUAAUUGUGUGAGAGAAUAAUGGUAUUUGAUUUUAUUUCCAUAAUUGUAGGCAAAACGGUUUCCUCAUACAUUGUAGUAAAGUAUAAGACACAAAGUAAUGUAUAUGUAUUUUUCUAAAGUUGAGAGAGAAAAAGUACAUUCGGGAUUCUAUGUAAUUACUUUCAUUAAGGAUGGAAUUUAUGAUGUUUAUACUUAAUUAAAUUUAUUUCAAUAAUACAUACCUUAGAGUAAUGAUCACAUAAUUUUAUAGUUCUCACCCGGAGCACUCGGUUGCCUAACAGCGUCACAAGUCUAUACCCCUCGAAGCUGUUGUGGAAAACUGUAAGUUUAGUGUGCCGCCUUUUUUCUUCUUCUUAAUAUCUGAUGAUGUUAUCAUUAUUAUUGGUAAACCCUACCUACAUAAAUUCAUUCUUUUAUUGACCAUAUAAGUAAAAUAAAUUAGGAAUUCGACUCAAAUUAUUAAUUAUCUAAAAUAUUUGAACUUUUCAAUACAUCCUCAAAAUUUAUUCGCAACCUCAUAGAAAUAAAUUACAUAUAUAAAUUAACUAAAAAGGUACAUUUUGAACCUAUUAAGAAUAUUAAAAUACUAAAUCGAGGUCAUCUUGAUCAAAAAUUGACCAUGAUCGAACUUAACUUUGUUAAUUCAAUAACCCAGCUAGUGACUUAAAUCACUUCCGUACACCUCAAAAAUUGAUACUACACAUCUCCGUGAGUCAUAAAUCAUGUCUACGAGCUAUGGGAAGAGCAAAAAUAAAAAGAAUCAGUAAAAUUCAAAAGAGGACUAGGAGGGUCGUUACAUUUGUAUUGAUUAUUUGCAUUUUUUCUAAAUAAUCAAAAUUUCACUGAUCGACUUCUCCCUUUGUUAAUUUGGAACCAAUGAGCAUGAAAAAUUAAUCCUUAAAGAAAGAUUUAAGGAAGAAAUCGCUGAAGAAUAGGGGAGAAAGAUAGAAUAUAAAUGGAGGAAAGGAGGAGGAAAGGGAAAGUGAAGAAGUGUUGUAAGUGGAAAUGAAAGAAAAAAAGAGGAGGUCGGCUACAAAUUGGGAGUAUUAUUGAAAUUAGGAAAAAUAUAAGAAAUAAAAGGAUGAAUAUUUUGAUCAAACUUAGAAGAAUUUUAGGCUCCUAACUUAACACUUUUUUUAAAAAAAUUUGUUUUUAGCUUUUUAAAACUGAUUUAUUAUUUUACCUAACACAUAAAAAAGCUAAAAAAAUUUUAAAAAUUCUUUAACCAAUUUGUAUUCCUAUCCAAAUAGGCUCUAAGCAGAAUCUUGUUUACAUUUAUUUUCAUUAAAUCAGUUCAAAAAUCUUAUCUGUGCAUCUCAUCUAUUACUUACUUCCAUAUAUGUACCUGCCAAGAAAUUUUUUUUUUGUAGAAAAUUUUCUUAAGUGAAGUUUUCUUUAAAUUUUUAGUAUUUGUUAAGUAAAUAAAAAAAAAGUAUGCAGAAGAAUUCAUUUAUAGAGCCUGUUUGAAUUAGCUUAAAAUAAGUAGCUUUUAAGUAACAAGCAUGAAAAACACUUUUGAUGUGAUGGAGCUUAUUAUACAUAUAAGCAAUUACGCGUUUGGAUGAAAGUGUUGAAACUGAAAAUAAGCAGUUGAUGUGUUUGGUAAAAAAUACUGAUAAGCAAUUUUUAUGUUAAAAUGACAUAAAUAUCCUUAAGUGUGAAAGUUUGUAAAACUGAUCAUUACAAAAUUUUUAAUUCAAAUUGAUUAAAAUAUAAUUUAUUUUAUAUUUCAAAUUAAUUAGAUAAAAUUAUUUUUUUUAACAAUUUCAAAUUGUUUAUUGAAAACAUUGGAUGAAAGUGGAAAAUAGCUUAAAAAAUUUGAUUUUCACUGCAAUAUAAAGUUAUGAAUUACAACAAAAAUAAAAAGAAUUCUCAUGCCAAUCUUUUUUGUCACAAGAAAAUUUAAAUCAAAAUGACAUUCACCGUAAUGGAAGAGGAACAUGCUCGGCCUCCACUCACAGACCUUUUCAAAUAAUCUGUCAUAUUUUUUUUCUAAUUAAUAUAAUCUUUGAAUAAUAAAAUUUGAAUGAAAAAUGAACUAAUCAAUUAUAAUAUUACAAAGUGCAAAUAAAAAAAAGAAAUAUAAAUCAUGAAGAGAGCAACUUGCUAUGGAGGAGCAGCAGCGGUCAUGGACGAGAGCAAGAAACGGAAGAACAAGUUGUAAUAAGAAAGGGCAUUUUAGGAGUUUCAAGAAUAUGCAAGGGAUAAUAAAAUAAAUUACUUGGUCAAACUUAAAUAAUUUUUAAGCCAAAAAUAUAAGUUGGGUUAGACCAACUUAUAGCUUUUGAUUUAUUUUAGCUUAAAAAUACUUAUUUUUAAGCACUUGUAUUAUUUGUCAAACAUCCAAAUAAGUCAAAAAAAUACUUUUAAGGUGAUUUGACCAACUUUUAAGCCAAGCCAAACACCCUCAUAAUUUAACAAAACAUUAUUAGGAAAUUAGGGGUUGGCGGGAUUUGAGAUGGUUAAGGAAUGGGGAUUGGGGUUAGAGGGGGAUGGGAUAGUCGAGAGGUGGGGAUUGCGGGUGUUGGAUUGGUAAGAAGGAAAAAUUUUGAAUGUUAUUUAUGACUCUCUACUUUCUCUACUUUAAUUUGGGAAAGUCAUUUUCUAACAUUUUAAAGGAAUUUUAUUUUUUAAGAGAAAAAUAUUUUUAAAAAUAUUUUACCCAAUUAAACAUGAAAAGAAUUAGAAAAUAUUUUCGUUCCUACCUGAACACCCUGUCAUAUUUGUCUUUUUCACCUCUUUUAGUAAUACAUUAAAAGAUAAUUUAAAUAAAUUAUUCAUAUUUAUUUUUUAAUCGCAAUUCAAUAUUACUUUUUUCACCAGAAAGGUUAAUUGCGAGAAAACAAAACUAACUCUAGAUUUAAUAAAAUUUAUGCACUUCCUUCGUCCACUUUUAAUUAUUUCUUCAAUUUAAAUUUUACAUACAAUUUAAACUAUACGCAUCCUUUAAGAAUAAUUAUGAGAGUCUGUUCAAAGUUUAGGCUUGGAUCAUGAGCUCGUGAGUACUUGGAGAUUGUCCGGGAUAGUAGGUGGUGACCGUCCGUACUUGCACGUGGAGAUCGUCAAUGAGGUACAUAGAGAAUAUGGUUGUGCCCCGUGGGUCACGUCCGAGUCUCCCCCAUAUGGAAUUGGUGCGUGUGCCGGGUUAUGUGCAUAUAUAUGGCAUUUACAUGACAUUAUAUUUGCAUCAUACUUAAUAGAGAAAAGACGUCUUUUCCCUCUGAACUUGUUCUCCAAACUCACUUUAGCACUUAAACUUAACUUCCGUUUAUUUACCCCCCUUAACAACUUUUAAGUGAAUUAAAUUCACCCAUAAAGCUGACAUGGCGAAAAAAAUAAAAAGAGCGAGUGAUUUUUUUUUAAAAGAGCCCAUUUAUAUAUAUAUAUAUAUCAACUACGAACAAAAUCAACUUGAUACUAAGAAAUAGCAAACGGACAGAUUAGAUUCUCGCAUAACCCGACCUUGUUUCACCCACUCCCGUCGAAUAUCACCGGAAUCAGACCACAAACAGUCAAUUCCAGUUGAUGUGGGGCUGUUUUUGUAAAUUUCGUCGAACUUGGUCGGAGAACGAACUGAAAUGAGGUCGCUGCUAACGGAUUUCGAUCGAUUAUGCCUAUCUCUAACUGGUGUAGUCAAUUUUCGAUCUGCGUGAUGAAAUUCGAAAAGGAUUUGCUCAUCGAAAAACCCAACGCAACCCGUCUCUCUCUCUCUCUCUCGUUUCUCACUGUUUCUUCUCUCUCCCCCCUCCGAUUCUCCUUUCUCGUCUCACUGUUUCUUCUCUCUUUCUCCCUCCAAUUCUCCUCUCUCUUGUCUCACUGUUUCUUCUCUCUCUCCCUUUGAUUUUUCUCUCGCUUAAUCUCUUUUCUCCGAUUUUAUGUGUGCGGCGUGUGUGCGAUGUGCGUCACCAGAGAGAAAAAAAAGAAAAAAAGAAGAAGAAGGGGGUGGGGUUUGUGAAAAAAAAGAAAGAAGGGGGGUGGGUAGGGGUGAGGGCUGUGAAGAAGAAGAACGAAGGGGGUGGGGUCAUUUUUAUUUAUAUAAAAUAUAUAUUUUUAUAAAAAAAAUAUAUAUAUAAAAAAUAUACUCUUAUAAAAUUUAAAAAUAUGUAUAAGAGUAUAUCAUAUAUAUAUAUAUAUAUAUAUAUAUAUUAGAAGAAUAUAUAAAAAGUAAGUGUGUGGGAUUAUUUUUUUUUGAAAAAAUUAUAAUUAUUACGUGGCAGUGAUAUGGUACUGAUGUGGCAGUGAUUUGGCAAUGGCGUGACGCGUGUGUAGUGCACUCUCCGUGUGAGAGUGGGAUUUUAAUUUUGAAGGUGAAUUUAAUUCACUUGAAAGUUGUUAAGGGGUGUAAAUAAACGAAAGUUAAGGUUAAAUGCUAAAGUGAGUUUGGAGGACAAGUUCAGGGGUAAGAGGGAGGCUUUGGAUUUUUCAGUUGUAGAUCUCCAAUAAAUUAUGUGGCGCUUUCAUAAUUUUUUUUCGUGUUUUUGGUCAAACAUUUGAUCGGUUUGUUCCUUAUCUGGUUCCUGCCAGUGGCUUGGAAGCAAGCUACCCGCGCUAUAUAGAGGGAGAAGAGCAGCAGGAUUGAAAAAGUGAAGACGACUCGAAGAGGGAGAGGCCGAAGGGGGAAAUGGGGAUGCACCUAUAACCUAUAAAUAGAAGGGCUUCCUUAAUUGCAAUUUAUCACUCAAGAGAAAAAAAUAAAAAUCACUCUCUCUAUUCUCUCUACUCUUCUUAUUGUUAUCAGCAAGAGACUCUAUCGUCUCAAAUUUGAAGGCUAAGGCUAAGAUAUGGAUAAUUUUCAAGAAGAUAUUUAUUUGAUUGAUUCUGGCACUACACAUAUGAUAUUCAAAGAUAAGAAAUAUUUUUCUCAUCUAAACAUGGGUAAGAUUAAUGUUACUACAAUUUCUGGUAGUGCUAAUUUGAUUGAAGACUUCGGAAAAGCCAUUAUAAUCUUGCCCAAUAGAACUAAACUCAUCAUAAAUAAUGUUAUGUUCUCUCCCAAGUCUCGGAGAAACUUGAUGAGUUUUAAAGAUAUCCAUGAAAAUGGUUAUCAUAUCAAGACAUUUGAUGAGAUGAAUCUUGAAUAUCUUGGUAUCACCAAGAAUAUCUCUGGCAAGACAUAUGUUGUUGAAAAGUUCCCUGCUUUAUCUUCUGGCCUGUAUUGGACAAAGGUUUGUGCAAUUGAGGCACAUUCUAUAGUAAACCAAAAGUUUACUGAUUCCAAUACUUUCGUACUUUGGCAUGAUCGUCUAGGACAUCCAGGAUCAAUAAUGAUGAGACGAAUAAUAGAAAAUUCAAAUGAGCAUCCAUUAAAGAACUUGAAGGUUCUUUUGAAUGGUGAAUUUUCAUUUAAUGCUUGUUAUCAAGGCAAGCUGAUUGUGAGACCAUCGCCAACAAAAGUUGAGAUUUAGUCCCCCACGUUCUUGGAACGCAUACAUGGGGACAUUUGUGGACCAAUUCACCCACCAAGUGGGUCGUUUAGAUGGUUUCAUGGGUGCCUUUUGUCAUCUCCAACUUGGAAUUUGCAAAAUUAUUGGCACAAAUAAUACGAUUACGGGCAUAAUUUCCUGAUAAUUAAAUUAAGUCUAUUCGCCAUGAUAAUGCUGCAGAAUUUUCAUCCCAAGCAUUUAAUGACUAUUGCUUAUAGAUUGAGAUAAGAGUGGAACAUCCUGUACCCCAUGUUCACACUCAAAAUGACCUUACUGAGUCAUUAAUUAAGUGGCUUUGGUUGAUAGCAAGACCAUUACUGAUGAAAACUAAGUUGUCCAUUUCUGUUUAUGGUCAUGCAAUUUUGCAUGCUACAAUACUUGUUCGUCUUAGACCAAUAAAUUAUCAUAAAUUUUCUCCGUUGCAAUUGAUUUUGGGUCAAGAGCCUAAUAUAUCUCACUUGAGAACUUUUGGGUGCAGUGUAUAUGUGCCUAUAGCACCACCAAACCGCACCAAGAUGGGCCCCAAAGAAGGUUAGGAAUUUAUGUUAGGUUUGAAUCACCCAUUAUUAUUCGCUAUCUUGAACCAUUAAUGGGAGAUAUGUUCACUUCUCGAUUUGCAGAUUAUCAGUUUGAUGAGAUACUUUUCCCAAAAUUAGGGGGAGAAGAUAGUGAUAUCAAAAGAGAAAUUUUAUUGAAAAAUCCAUCACUAUCUCUUGAUCCACGUGCUUCUAUUUGUGAGCAAAAAGUACAAAAGAUUAUUCAUCUGUAGAGAAUUGCAAAUCAAAUGCCGGAUGCAUUUAUAGAUUUAAAAAGAUCACUAAAUCACAUAUUCCUGCAGAGAAUGUCCCAAUUCGAAUUGAUGUCCCUAAAGGACCAUCCACUAGUGUCAUAGUUAAUGAAUCUAAAGCACGCUUGAAUCAUGGCAGUCCAUUAGGUUCUAAGGAUCGAAAUCCUAGAAAAAGAAAAACAAAUAGUCAAGAUGACACUACGAAAGAUCCAUAUAUGGAAGAUCAAGAUUUGAGCAAUGUUGAUAUCCCUGAAGGAAUCAAUAAGCCUGAGACUCAAGAAAAUGAGGAACUAUCCAUAAAUUCAAGUGAUACUAAAUCUAAUUUGAAUCGAUCUGAAAUAGUAGUGGAUUAUGUCUUUGCAUAUAAUGUUGCAACGAAAAUCAUGCAAGAUAGUGAGGAUCUUGAACCUCGAUCUGUCACAAAAUGUCGACAAAGAAAUGACUGGCCAAAAUGGCAAGAAGCAAUUCAAUUUGAAUUGAAUUCACUUGCCAAAUGUGAAGUUUUUGGACAUAUAACUCAAACAACUAAUGGUGUUAAGCCUGUUGGAUAUAAAUGGGUCUUUGUGCGAAAAAGAAAUGAGAAAAAUAAAAUACAAAGGUAGAAAACACGCUUUGUUGCACAAGGAUUUUCAGAACGGCCUGGUGUCGAUUAUGAUGAGACAUAUUCACCAGUUAUGGAUGCAAUAACAUUGUGUUAUCUUGUUAGUUUCACUAUUCAUGAGAGACUUGAAAUGCAUUUGAUGGAUGUGGUAACAGCCUAUCUAUAUGGAUCACUUGAUAAUGAGAUAUACAUGAAAAUUCUCAAAGGAUUUAAAAUGCUGAAAGCUUAUAGUUCAAAGUCUCGGGAAAUGUAUUCCAUUAGAUUGCAAAGAUCAUUGUAUGGUUUGAAGCAAUCUGGACGCAUGUGGUAUAACCGUCUUAGUGAAUAUUAAUCUAAAGAAGGUUAUACGAAUGAUGAAAUUUGCCCAUGUAUUUUCAUAAAAAAAAACGUCGGAGUUUGUUAUACUUGCUGUCUAUUUCGUUGACAUAAACUUUAUUGGAACGCCAAUAGAGCUUCAAAAGGAAAUUGAUUACCUAAAGAAAUAAUUUGAGAUGAAAGAUCUCGAAAAUACAAAGUUAUGUGAUUACCUAAAGAAAUAAUUUGAGAUGAAAGAUCUCGGAAAUACAAAGUUAUGUCUUGAUUUGCAAAUUGAGCAUUUGACAAAUGACAUCUUUGUUCAUCAAUCUGCCUACACAGAAAAGGUGUUGAAACGAUUCUAUAUGGAUGGAGCACAUCCAUUAAGUACUCCAAUGGUUGUUUGAUCACUUGAUGUGAAUAAGGAUCCAUUUCGACCGCAAGAAAAGAAUGAGGAACUCCUUGGUCCUGAAAUAUCAUAUCUUAGUGCAAUUGGUGCACUAAUGUAUCUUACAAUUACUACAAGGCCUGAUAUUGCCUUUUCAGUAAAUUUGCUAGCAAGGUAUAGUUUUGCUCCUACUAGGAGACAUUGGAAUGGGAUCAAACACAUAUUACGGUAUCUAAAGAGAACUAUCGAUAUGGACUUAUUUUAUUCUAAAGAUUGUAGUUCCGAUCUUGUUGGUUGUGCUGAUGCUGGGUACUUAUCCGACCCGCAUAAAGAUCGGUCUCAACCAGGAUUUGUAUUCAUAUGUGGGGGUACUGCUAUAUAUUGGAGAUCAACAAAGCAGUUUAUCGUAGCCACUUCAUCGAAUCACGCUGAGAUUAUAGCUAUUCAUGAAGCAAGCUGAGAGUGUGUGUGGUUGAGGUACAUAAUACAUCUCAUUCGAGAAAAAUAUGGCUUGAAAUAUGACAAAGUAUCCAUGAUUUUAUAUGAAGAUAAUGCAGCAUGUAUAGCAUAACUUAAAGGAGGAUUCAUAAAAGGAGAUAGAACAAAGCACAUUUCGCCAAAGCUCUUCUAUACACAUGAGCUCCAAAAGAAUGGGGAUAUUGACGUACAUCAGAUUCGUUCAAGUGACAAUGUGGCUGACUUAUUCACUAAGUUUCUUCUAACUGCAACUUUUAAGAAGAUGGUGCACAAGAUCGGAAUGCAAAGGUUCAAGAAAGUUCUUAUUAGAGGGAGCUAAUACGCGUUGUACUAUUUUUUCCUUACGAGAUUUAAUCACACUAAGUUUUUCUUGUAAGGUUUUUAAUGAUGCAGCCUAUAUGCGUAUUAUUAGACAUUCAAGGGGGAGUGUUAUGAUAUAUAUCAAUUAUAGUGAAUGUCUAUCAAGAUCUAUUUGAUGUCUAUCAGGAUUUGAUGUAUUUGUCUUUUAGUGUGAAACUAGGNNNNNNNNNNNNNNNNNNNNNNNNNNNNNNNNNNNNNNNNNNNNNNNNNNNNNNNNNNNNNNNNNNNNNNNNNNNNNNNNNNNNNNNNNNNNNNNNNNNNNNNNNNNNNNNNNNNNNNNNNNNNNNNNNNNNNNNNNNNNNNNNNNNNNNNNNNNNNNNNNNNNNNNNNNNNNNNNNNNNNNNNNNNNNNNNNNNNNNNNNNNNNNNNNNNNNNNNNNNNNNNNNUAUAUAUAUUUUCCUUUUUUAAAAAAAAUAUAUAAAAAGUAAGUGUGUGGGAUUUUUUUUUUAAAUUAUAAUUUCUUAUGUGGCAAUGACAUAGCACUGAUUUGGCAAUGACGUGACACGUGUGUAGUGCACUCUCCGUGUGAGAGUGGGAUUUUGAUUUUGAGAGUGAAUUUAAUUCACUUGAAAGUUGUUAAGUGGGUAAAUAAAUGAAAAUUAAGUUUAAGUGCUAAAGUGAGUUUGGAGGACAAGUUUAGGAGGGAAAAGAUGUCUUUUCUCUACUUAAUAUUAUCUAAAUCAUUUUGUAUAAAUAACCAUGCUGUGUUACUUAUUGUUCUUUUCAUUCACAAAGAAGUAUACUUAUAUAGAGUGAAGAGUUUUGGGCGCAUCAAAACUUGAUGAUCAGAACCGGAGGUAACUUUUAACGAAAUAAUAUAGCCGAAGCUGCAAAUUUGAUAAGCAAAAUGACAUUGAGUUUAUUCAAAUUAAAGGUACAAAUAUUUCAUUCGACAUUGUCCUGAUCUAGAAAGAACUAGAACAAUUAGUCGUUUUACUUUAUUUUAUGAAAGAAGCAACAAAAUUUCUUUACUUGGAGCAAAGAAAGGUAUUUGCAGUAGAAUUGUAGAGGCAUUUAGGACAACAACCAGAACAGGGCUUGCACCUACAGUCUUGACCGCAACUGCAAGUAUAAGGUGAGGGACGAGGUGCAACUGCUUUUGAUACGAGUUCUGUCUUAGUCUCAGCAACUAUUUUCACUCUUGGAGACUCAGCAAAUAAACUAUAAUCCAUCAAAAGAAUUAUGUGUCAAAAUCAAUAUGUUACAUCAUUGUUAUUCUAAUAUGUAAAACCAAGAUGACAAAUAUGCACACAAAUAUAUUUUGUAUUUGACGUAAGUAAUAAAACCCAACAUAUAUAGAGGCAUACUUCCUCUAAUUCAUUACAAGUGAAUUGUUGAGACUUUUUCAUGAUUCAAAAUAAGAGAUAAUAUCUCAACGAGACAUGUUUAUGCUUCCUUUUAAGAUGGUUCUUAACUAUUUUACAUUUUCUAGGAGAAUAGUUUAGGAAUAAUUAAAAGAAUAAUAGUGUAAAACAACAUUUGAUUUAUCAUUUAUGUCCCCAGCCUAUAAAUGUUCUGCUUAAGGUAAGCUUGUCAAACGGGCCAGAUUGACCCGCCUGAACCGGCCCGUUUAAGAAAAUCGAGCCAGCUUGACCCGGCCCGAUCAGCCUAUGAUUUGUAGGGUACCGGGUACCGGGCCGGUUUAUUUUUUUGAUUGGGCCCGGUUAGCCUGGCUCGAACCAAGCCCGGUUCGGGCCCGCCGGUUAACCGGCCCGAAUUCAUUUUUUUUUAAAAGUGGGCUUUGGUCCGUUUGGCCCAAACUAACCGUUGGCCCAACGACUAUAUAGCCGUUUUUGGGUCUAAACUGCUAGUUUGACAUUUAUUAUUAAAUUUUUUUUUUUACUUUUAAAAUUAUUUUUUAACCCUAAAAAAAUUCCUAUAAAUACCCUAUACUUUCAAAUCAUUUUCCACAUAAUUUUUCAUUCUCUCAAUUCUCAUUCUCUCUCAAAUCUCAAUUCUCAAACAUUCUACAUAUUUAAUUUCCUAAAGUGCUCACCUUAAUUUUUUAAUUUGGCGAUUACAAAGUACGAGUGGAAGUUUCUAAAGUCGCAAUCUUCGAAUACUUCCAAAAUUUGGUAUUGUCGUUCAUCUCUUACGUUUAAUUUUUAUUUAGUGUGUUAAUUGUUGAAUAUUUAAUUUUAUUAUAUUUGUGUAUUUUGAAUUUUUUUAGUUUAAUUUAUAUUAUGGAUAAAUUAAGAAACUUCGCUACUAAAGGUGUUAAAAUUUUUUGUCCCGCAAGUGGUAGUUGUAGUAAAAAGCGAAUUACUAGCGGUAGAGGUACUUCAAGUACUAGAUAUACCCGUGUGCCUCCGGUACCGCUUAGUCAAUCUUUUGAGGACGAAGUAGGCGUACCUUUAGGUGUAGGUGCCCACGAUAUGGAUUAUGUAGAAGCUCAGGAAAAUUCCAGUAUAGAAGAAGAAAAUAAAGUAGAUGCGGUUAAUUUAGACGAAGAUGAUGAAAAUAUUGGUGAGACACCUGCAGUAGGAAAUGCUAACGUUAGAUCUGAAUCGGUUAAUCUCCCUCCCCAUCCUCCCCGUGCCCCAAGAGCUCGUAAAACAACUAGUAUUGCAUGACAAUUUUUUGAACGUAUAUCAGAUACUGAGGUGCAAUGCAAUAUUUGUCAACGAAUAUAUAAGCAUAAAAAUAGAGGCAAGCAAGGGGGUACGGGUACGUUAAUGAAACAUGUAGGUGAUGCUCACGAAAGAGAGUUACAUAUUGCACGAGGUGGUGCGGAUAUUGGUGGGCCAACACAAACUAGAAUGGACCCAGCAACCGGUCAGGUAAUGAAGAAGUAUAAUAAAAUGCAGGACCGGAAAGAAAUAACUAAAAUGGUAGCUGUGAGUUGUUUGCCUUUUAGUUGUCCUUCUUCUGAUGCCUUUAUUCAUUAUAUUCAAGCAAUUUAUAAUCCUAUGUUUAAUGGUAUUCCUAGAAGUACUUGUCGGACGAAUAUUUUUAGACUCUAUUCACAAUAUUAUUUUUAUUUAUCAACAUUGUUAAAAAAUAUUCAAUGUAGAAUGUCCCUAACUUCUGAUCUUGGGCGUGCUGUAAAUAAAAAUGAUUAUUUAAUUAUUACUUGUCUCUGGAUAGAUAGUAGUUUUAUUAUUCAAAAACGUAUUCUUACUUUUUUAUAUGAUGAAGAUCGUAAACAUACUGGAGAUUUUAUUAUUGAUUCGAUUGCUAAAGUUGCAGAAUUUUAUAGUAUUGAAAAUAAAAUCUUAUGUAUUGCUUUUGAUAAUGCUUCUAACAACAAGACUGCUAUAACAAAAUUAGGGCCCGUUUGGCCAUGAAAUUUUUUUCUUUUUCCGGAGAAUUUUUUUGGAGUUGGAAAUUAUGGUGUUUGGCCAUGAAAAUUUAGAAAAUAAUUCUAGAAAAUUUUUCUAAAAAGGAAAAACAAGUUUUUGUUAUUUUCCAAUUUUUCAACUCCAAUUCCAACUUUUAUUAUUAUUACAUAUAACCCAAUCUUUUAAAUUUUUACAUAAAACUCUCCUUAUAACAUUACUUUUUCAAUAUUACGUAUAUAGCAGUUUUAAAGAAUAAGAUAAUUAUAAUUUCAAAUUUAAUGCUAUCCUAAUUAAUAUAUAUCUCUUUUUCUCUAUCAUCAUUAUUUUUCUCCUUUAUUUAAUUUUCUCUCUUAUAUAAGACAUUAUUUUACUGCUAAUGAUCCUAAUUACUAUAAUAUAAUAAUACUAAUAAUUAUUAUUAUUAUUAUUAUUUUUCUGUUGUGAUACGUACGUUUAAGGAAUUAUAGUUGUGUAAUUAAUAAUGGAUAAUCGUUUUCUAUAUUUAUGGAAUUAAUAAAGUUGUAGCAGAUUAGUUUACCACUGCCACAAAUUAUUCUAAUUUUUAAUUUGAUUAUAUAUAUUAUAUUGUGUACAUCUUUAUUAUACUAUUCAAAUAUAUACAGUUUAUAUCAUAUAUAUGUUAAAAAUAUAAAUCGGUGAUACAUGUCCAAUUUAACAAAUUUAUACCUUAAACUACAACUGCUAUCUUUAUAUACCAUAAUACUUGAUAUCUUUAUACACAAAACAUUAUAUUUAUACCCAUAAAUAUAUAAAGUAUUAUAUUUAUAACAGAAAUAUACAAAGUAUAUUAUAUAUAAAGUUUAUACUAUGUAUAUAUCAUAUACACACAUAUAUAAAUAUAUAAAUUAUUAAGAAACAUACUAAGAAUAUUUAUAACAUAAAUAUACAAAUUAUAUUAUAUAUGAAGUUUAUACCAUGUAUAUAUCAUAUACACACAUAUAUAAAUAUACAAAGUAUAAAGAAACAUACUAAGCAUAUUUAUAUAUUUAUGGUAUAUGAUAUAAUAUACCAUAAAUAUGUAAAGUAUGUUUUACAUAGAAAUAAUUUAUUCACACACAGUAAAAUCUUUCAUGUAUAAGAAAAUUAAAGAAAUAAAUUAGCAGCACCCCAAAAUUUAAUAACAACUUAUCAUGUCAUAUUUUUUAGGAACGAAAAAUAAAGGAAAUAAAUUAGAUAAAUUCCUAAGAAAAUAAAUUUGUUUGAAAGAUAAUAUUUGUUACCUAAAAAAUAGGAAAUAGUGAUCUAUUAAUAUAACAUCCAUAUUUAAAAUUUUUAAAUAUGAGAAACGGCUAUUAAUGUAAAUAUUAUAUAUGUCAUAAUUGAAAUUCAGUAAAUAUGUCCUUGUAGAUGUAAUUAUUUUUAUAAAAGUGGCUAAUUGUGUUCUUUUUCCAUUAGUAGGUAAAUUUUAGUUGGGUGAUUUUGAUAGUUUGUAAAAGUUGGGGCAUACAAUCAUAUUUAAAAAAGUUUUUUCAAAAGUCAAGAAAAAAAAUUCAGAAAAAACAUGGCCAAACACAACUCCAACUCCAAUUUCAACUCCAACUCCGAAAAUUUUUAGUUUUCAUGGCCAAACGGCUACUUAAAAUGUAAGCUAUCUCCGUCGUUACCUGAAAUUUUUCAUAUUAAGUGUGCAUGUCAUAUAUAUAAUUUAAUUGUAAAAGAUAGUCUUGAGUUUUUUGAGCUUUAUAUUGAAAAAAUCCGUCUUGCUGUUAGUUUUAUUCAAGGAAAUAAUCAAAGAAAAAAAAUUAGAGAAUUUAAAGUUAAAUAUCAAGAAAAUGCACUUGCACCGAUAUUGAUGCCUGAGGAAAUUGAUAGUAGAUGGAAUUCUACGUAUGAUUUUUUAAAAACUUGUUAUAAAUAUAGAGUUCCUAUUACACUAGCUUUUAACUAAUAUUGUGGUUCAUUUGCUGAUUCUGCUGAUUGUAUGCUACAUGAUUCUGAUUGGGUUGUAAUUAAUGAUCUUGUUAAGUUUUUAAAAAAAUUUUAUGUAGCUACGGUUAAAUUUCUCGGUGCUUAUUAUCCUACUUUUUUCCUACUGUUUGUAAUAUUUUGGCAUAUAUAGCCGAUAUUUCUGCUUUACUCAAAGAAUAUAAAAAUAAAGAAGGUUAAAAAGAUGUUGUUGGUCCCAUGUUUGCUAAAUUUUAAAAACUAUUUUUUUUCGAUUCCUCCUAUUUACUUGGUUGGUGCUAUGCUUAAUCCGUGCAUGAAAUAUAAUACUAUGUCCCACUUUAGUACUAUUAUUUAUGUUAAUUUAGAAAUAAGUACUAACGAUGAUUCUCAACAAGUACAACCUGAUUUGUGGACGACUAUGGGUGAUGCGAAUGAAUACAUAGAUAAAUUAUAUAAUCACUAUGCUGAUUUAGUUGAUUUAGCCGUACCUACAAAUAUCACUCCAACUGUCGCUCCUCAUUCUCCCGAGGAGCCAUCAUCUUUUAAAAGGCCGGCACAUAGUGAUUUUCUUGAUAACUUUUAUGAUUUAAAUUGUUGGAACAAUGUCGAGAAGGGAGCUUACACAUCAACUUAUCGGGAAGAGUUUAAGUAUUAUCUUCGAUCGCCGCUAGAGGAUCGCAGACGACGGAUCAACGCGUUGGAUUGUUGGAGGAGUAAUUAAACACAAUAUCCUGUUCUUUCAAGAUUAGCUAGAUAUAUCUUGAAUGUUCCAAUGUCAACCAUUGCAUCGGAGGACGCUUUUAGUCAAGGACAACAACAACUUGGAGACAACCGACAUUCAUUGGGAAGCAAUGCAAUGAAUGUUCUCGUUUUCCUCAAAGAUUGGAUUAGAGCCGAACGAAGAAAUCAAGGAAUGAAAGCGGAGCCGAACGACGAGCAGAGACUUGAAGAAAUUAUAACUUCACGGAAGAACUCAGCAGAAUCAAGUCCAAUGCAUGGUUUUGCCCCCGUUGACUUUGACUAUCCUAUGCAAGUUUCAGUUAAUAUUAACAUGAAUGAGUUGAAGAAAAUGAUGCGGAAUCUGUAGAUUUUUCAUUCAUGUAAAUUAUAAAAUUUGGAUCAUUUUGCAAUAAAUAAAAUUCAACAUUCAUUCAUUCCUUAGUCCUUACUUUAUAAUUUUUUCCAUUUAAUGAUUUAAAUUAAAUUUCUAGCUUAAAUUAAAAACUUAGUUUUAAUAUAUUAUUAAUUUACUAUUAAGUAUUAGACUAUUAUUAAUUUAUUAUAUUAAGUAGCAUGUGUUUUAUUUAAAAUAGUGUAUAUAUGUGUAUAUAUUUUCUAAAAUAGUAUAUAUUUAAUGUAUACAUGUGUAUAUGUUUUAUAAAUUAGUGUAUAACUAUACAUAUAGUGUGUGUAUAUAUUGUAGUAUAUAUAUAUAUUGUAGUUUUUUUUAUUUAAAGUAGUACGUAUAUAUUUAAUAGUACGUAUAUAUGUGUAUAUAUCUUUUAUUGACGUAUAUAUUUAACGUAUACAUGUGUAUAUGUUUUAUAAAUUAGUGCAUAACUAUAUAUAUAGUGUGUGUAUAUAUUGUAGUAUAUAUAUAUNNNNNNNNNNNNNNNNNNNNNNNNNNNNNNNNNNNNNNNNNNNNNNNNNGUAUACAUGUGUAUAUGUUUUAUAAAUUAUUAUAUAUAUCAUUAUAUUGUAGUAUAUAUCCUGUAGUCUAUGUUUUAUUUAGAGUAAUAUAUAUAUUUAACUAACGUAUAAUCAUAUACACAAUUACAUGUGUAGUUGUGUAUAUGUGUAUAUAUUUUUUAAAUUCUAAUGUAGUAUAUAUAGUGUAUAUAUAUUGUUUAAUAUAUUAAAAGUGUAAAGGACUUUAGAAAUAUUAUUUGAACUUUUUGUCCUUCGUUAAAAGUCUCUACUUUAGAUAAAAUUGCCCUUUCACUAUUUUCUUAAUAUUUAAUAGUUUAAAAAUUAAUUAAAUAAUUAUAGUAAAUCUUUUCGAAGUCAUAGAAUUAGUGACAAUUAAUAUCUUUUUCAUUAGUUUAAAAAUUUUAAAUCAAUUAAGAAGAUUUGAAAAAUCUUGAAAUAAAUAUGAAAGCGUUAUAAUAAAAAGAUAUAAGAAAUACCAAAUUUGUAAAAGUUUUAAGUAAGUAAUUAAAUAUUUUCUCAUGAUUUAACUUUAAAAAUAAAAAAAGAUUUUAUAUAUAGAAAAAAAAAUAAUCGUACUACAAAUAUGAUUCAAAUCGAUGUAUCUCUCUUAGCCUCUAGCAGCAAGGAAAAAACGUACUACAUGAUAAACUCAAAAGUAAUCAUCCAUUAAUUAAUCACUUGAAACUAAUUCUGUGGUGAAAUAUGUAUGUCCAUAGAAUUAAAUAUAUGUCAUAUUUAUAUUAUUAUAUUAAAAUGUGGUGGAUCUUUGAGAAAUAUUAUUAUAUUAAAAUGUGGUGGAUCUUUGAGAAGUAGAGUAUGAAGAAUCUUUAAAAUGUGAUUUGACCUUUUUGCAUUUUAUUAAAAAACUUUAUAAAAGACAAAAUUAUCUAAUUUUAAUUAAUAAGUCCAAAUUUUUACUGUCUCCCUUCCACCAUUAAUUUAUCUCAUAUGGAAUAUACAUGCCUUAGUGGUCAUUGUCACAGAUUUCUACUUUCUUAAUUAUAUACGAGCCUAGUAUAUGUUAAUUUCUUUUUAUCUUAAUUCAUGUAACACAUAAUUUAGAUAAUUAAUUAUAAAAUAUAAUUUAAAAUUUUAAUUAUGGUGAUUUAUAAUAUUUUUGUUUUUAUUUUAAUUUAAGUGAUACCGCUAUAAUUUUAAGAGUUAUUCAAAUAUUCUAUACUAUCUUUUAAAUUUUUUAAGUUGUUAAUUAUAUGAUUUAUAAUGCUUUUAACAAAAAAUUUCAAUAAGAUAUGAAUACUCUAUCCAUUCCCGUCUCAAUUUACAUGGCACAGAUAAAAUUUCAACAGCCAAUUGAAUUUUUUAAAUACUUUUUAAUAUAUAUAUAUAUAUAUAUAUAUAUAUAUAUAUAUAUAUAUAUAUUGCUCUCUUUAUCUUUGUGUUUUAAAAUACUUUAUAAUACUCUUUCUUCUAUUUCAAUUUAAGUGAGACCGAUAUAACUUCGAGAGUCAAGCAAAUAUUACGAUUGAAGUAGCGAAAAGACAUGUUUUAAAUGACUCAUAAUAACUAAUUGUAAGUGAUAAAAAAUUGCUAUAAAAAAUACUUGUGAAAAUAAUUUAAGUGGGUCUCAUAUAAGAUGUCAAGUUAAUUUACAAUAUCAAGAGUUAAUUUAUCAUUUUAUGUCUAGAUUGCCUUUUUUAUUAAAUAUUAUUAAUUUUCUAAUACUUAGAUGACUUAUAAUAAUCAAUUAAGGGUGAUAUAGUAAAAUUACGGCUGAAGCGCCGAUAUGUUUAUCCUUCAUUUUAUGGAGAUUCUUGACUACUUUAUAUUUUCUAGGAAAAUAAAUUAGAAAUAAUUAAAAAGAUAUUAGUGUAAAGCAAUAUUUAAUUUAUGUCCCGGCAUAUAAAUGUUUCGCGUAGAACGUUUGUGAUGAUCCAACAAUUGAACUAUAUAGAAAGUAUAUAUCAAAUAAAAAGAGAGGAAGCUGUAGAAAAAGAAAGCAGAAAGCUAAAAACAUUUACCCGACAUCACCAAAAGCGCAACAGUGAAAUAGAAAGAAAAAUUGCGAGCCAUCGUAACAAUAUAAGAUAAAUUAUGUGUAUUGCAGUGAGAU
Molecule: long non-coding RNA, 21083 nt
Filed under: Capsicum annuum
Lineage: Eukaryota; Viridiplantae; Streptophyta; Magnoliopsida; Solanales; Solanaceae
Description: long non-coding RNA (CANN_LNC022359)
Source: RNAcentral